RNAcentral lists this transfer RNA (73 nucleotides) under Firmicutes bacterium CAG:313. It matches the Rfam family "tRNA". From Rfam's summary of the family: Transfer RNA (tRNA) molecules are approximately 80 nucleotides in length. Their secondary structure includes four short double-helical elements and three loops (D, anti-codon, and T loops). Further hydrogen bonds mediate the characteristic L-shaped molecular structure. tRNAs have two regions of fundamental functional importance: the anti-codon, which is responsible for specific mRNA codon recognition, and the 3' end, to which the tRNAs corresponding amino acid is attached (by aminoacyl-tRNA synthetases). tRNAs cope with the degeneracy of the genetic code in two manners: having more than one tRNA (with a specific anti-codon) for a particular amino acid; and 'wobble' base-pairing, i.e. permitting non-standard base-pairing at the 3rd anti-codon position. The record is from Rfam by way of RNAcentral. Lineage: Bacteria; Bacillati; Bacillota.
GGUUCCAUGGUGUAGUGGUUAACAUGCCAGUCUGUCACACUGGAGAUCGCGAGUUCAAGUCUCGUUGGAACCG